AGUGAACGCUGGCGGUAGGCCUAACACAUGCAAGUCGAACGGCAGCACAGUAAGAGCUUGCUCUUACGGGUGGCGAGUGGCGGACGGGUGAGGAAUACAUCGGAAUCUACUUUUUCGUGGGGGUUAACGUAGGGAAACUUACGCUAAUACCGCAUACGACCUACGGGUGAAAGCAGGGGAUCUUCGCACCUUGCGCGAUUGAAUGAGCCGAUGUCGGAUUAGCUAGUUGGCGGGGUAAAGGCCCACCAGGGCGACGAUCCGUAGCUGGUCUGAGAGGAUGAUCGGCCACACUGGAGCUGAGACGCGGUCCAGAGUACUAAGGGAGGCAGCAGUGGGGAAUAUUGGACAAUGGGCGCAAGCCUGAUCCAGCCAUACCGCGUGGGUGAAGAAGGCCUUCGGGUUGUAAAGCCCUUUUGUUGGGAAAGAAAAGCAGCAGGUUAAUACCCCGCUGUUCUGACGGUACCCAAAGAAUAAGCACCGGCUAACUUCGUG
This 492-nucleotide ribosomal RNA is filed under the name uncultured bacterium. RNAcentral describes it as "partial 16S ribosomal RNA". It matches the Rfam family "Bacterial small subunit ribosomal RNA", at positions 29 to 507 of the family's 1533-position model. The record is from RNAcentral.